This 253-nucleotide ribosomal RNA is filed under the name uncultured bacterium. RNAcentral's name for it is "partial 16S ribosomal RNA". It matches the Rfam family "Bacterial small subunit ribosomal RNA", at positions 524 to 776 of the family's 1533-position model. The record is from RNAcentral.
UACGUAGGGUGCGAGCGUUAAUCGGAAUUACUGGGCGUAAAGUGUGCGCAGGCGGCCAUGCAAGUCGAGUGUGAAAUCCCCGAGCUUAACUUGGGAAUUGCGCUCGAAACUACGUGGCUCGAGUGUGGCAGAGGAAGGUGGAAUUCCACGUGUAGCGGUGAAAUGCGUAGAGAUGUGGAGGAACACCGAUGGCGAAGGCAGCCUUCUGGGCCAACACUGACGCUCAUGCACGAAAGCGUGGGGAGCAAACAGG